AAUAGAGGGCUUGGGUCCGGAAGUGAUGGACUGGAGGCUUGACUAAUGUGAAAGGGGCGUCUGAAAGAGAAGCCAGCUGCCAUGCCAUGAACUGCAAUGUGAAAAGGCCAGUGUAGCAAGGAUGUGUCCAGCCAACAGCCAGUGAGGAUCUGAGGCCCUCAGACCAACAGCCCAUGAGCAACUGAAUUUUGCUAAUAACCAUGUAAGUGAACACAGAAGUGGACACUCAGGGUCCUCCAGCUAGAUUACGUGGAUCUUUACAUCAUUGAAGUACCCAUGGCCUUUAAGCCAGGAGAUGAAAUAUACCCUAGAGAUGAGAAUGGCAAAUGGUUAUAUCACAAGUCAAAUCUGUGUGCCACUUGGGAGGCGAUGGAAGCUUGCAAAGAUGCUGGCUUGGUGAAAUCCCUGGGAGUGUCCAAUUUUAACCGCAGGCAGCUGGAACUCAUCCUGAACAAGCCAGGACUCAAACACAAGCCAGUCAGCAACCAGGUUGAGUGCCAUCCGUAUUUCACCCAGCCAAAACUCUUGAAAUUUUGUCAACAACAUGACAUUGUCAUUACUGCAUAUAGCCCUUUGGGGACCAGUAGGAAUCCAGUCUGGAGGCAGCUCCAUAAACUUGCCUUGCUUGAUCUUCCCAUACUAAGAGUAACUCUCCAUUCAGUGCAUACUCUGCACUCAGAGAAACUGGUUACAGGUGACCUGCAGUGUCCUGGGUGAAUGUUUCUUCUCCACCUUUGUUAAAGGAUGCACUUCUAAACUCAUUGGGGAAAAGGUACAAUAAGACAGCAGCUCAAAUUGUUUUGCGUUUCAACAUCCAGCGAGGGGUGGUUGUCAUUCCUAAAAGCUUUAAUCUUGAAAGGAUCAAAGAAAAUUUUCAGAUCUUUGACUUUUCUCUCACUGAAGAAGAAAUGAAGGACAUUGAAGCCUUGAAUAAAAAUAUCCGCUUUGUGCAAUUGCUCAUGUGGCGCGAUCAUCCUGAAUACCCAUUUCACGAUGAAUACUGACUGCAGGGAGUUCCUGAACAGAUUUUUCACUCCCAUGAGUGCCAAGACGGUGCGAUGGGUAGUCCCCUGCAUGUGAAAGUGAAGAGGGUUUUACCGUCCUGAGAAGAAAUAAUGAUGGAAACGUGUUUAAUGUUUGUGUAGUGUAAGUGACUUUGACUCAGUCACACUGAAGUAAAAAUAUUAAAAUCUGUUGAAAUAAC
RNAcentral lists this small RNA (1204 nucleotides) under Pongo abelii (Sumatran orangutan). RNAcentral describes it as "processed transcript". The record is from RNAcentral. Lineage: Eukaryota; Metazoa; Chordata; Mammalia; Primates; Hominidae.